GACGAACGCUGGCGGCGUGCCUAAUACAUGCAAGUUGAGCGCUGAAGGUUGGUACUUGUACCAACUGGAUGAGCAGCGAACGGGUGAGUAACGCGUGGGGAAUCUGCCUUUGAGCGGGGGACAACAUUUGGAAACGAAUGCUAAUACCGCAUAAAAACUUUAAACACAAGUUUUAAGUUUGAAAGAUGCAAUUGCAUCACUCAAAGAUGAUCCCGCGUUGUAUUAGCUAGUUGGUGGGGUAAAGGCUCACCAAGGCGAUGAUACAUAGCCGACCUGAGAGGGUGAUCGGCCACAUUGGGACUGGGACACGGCCCAAACUCCUACGGGAGGCAGCAGUAGGGAAUCUUCGGCAAUGGACGAAAGUCUGACCGGGCAACGCCGCGUGAGUGAAGAAGGUUUUCGGAUCGUAAAACUCUGUUGGUAGAGAAGAACGUUGGUGAGAGUGGAAAGCUCAUCAAGUGACGGUAACUACCCAGAAAGGGACGGCUAACUACGUG
This 497-nucleotide ribosomal RNA is filed under the name uncultured bacterium. RNAcentral's name for it is "partial 16S ribosomal RNA". It matches the Rfam family "Bacterial small subunit ribosomal RNA", at positions 28 to 507 of the family's 1533-position model. The record is from RNAcentral.